Molecule: long non-coding RNA, 834 nt
Filed under: Malus domestica (apple)
Lineage: Eukaryota; Viridiplantae; Streptophyta; Magnoliopsida; Rosales; Rosaceae
Description: long non-coding RNA (MDOM_LNC014193)
Source: RNAcentral
GUAGAUUCAAGAAUCAAGAUGUAUAAUAUGAUACAAUACAACACAAUGACAAGACAGCACAUCAAUAACUAGAAUGUAAUCAUCGUGCCCUUCACAUUGUAAACUACCACUAGAUCUAUUUUAUUCCAAAAACAAUUUCCAUCACUGUUUAAAAUCACUUAUAAGCAUUUUUAGGGUAGUAUUCAACAAGGCAAUAUUGCACGUAUUAUGGUGGUAUCGGUCUCGAAUAUGGUUUUAGAGUAUAUGUGACCCUUGGACAACAAGGGUGAGAAACACCACUACCAGUUGUUGCGAACUGCCCACAUUUAUAUCUUCAAUGUGUAUUAUCUGUUAUUUAUAGUCUUUUCACCAAUAAAAGCAUUUUUAUUCUAUUAUCUGUGACCAUUAAGACAUAAAGUUGUAAGAGUUGAACUUUACUAAGCCUAUCUUGUAAAAAAAAAUAAUAACAACAAUAAUGAUAAUCAUAGUAAUAAUAGUAAGAUAGCAAUAUCAGACUAUACCAAGAUAUAUCCAAAAACAACCAAUGAACUUAUCCACAUGAGAUCCAUCUAAAAUAAUCAGUUCGAUGGAUAUUACUUUGAUCACAACGAUCACAUCUAAUAUACUCAAACUAUAAAAAAGUAACACAGCAAUUACACAUAGAUGUGCAAACUAGAUCAUGAUAAAUCAACAUAUAAAAAAUAUAUGUUUAACACUGUGCAAGACAUUGGAACUCUGCAGUGUUCAUAGACCACACAUACCUUCUGAAGAGCGAUAGGGACUGCUGGGCCUUUUGCUUUAGCAUAACCAACAACACCAUGAUAAUUCCCACAAGCUAAUAUGGCAGUGUACUUG